Non-coding RNA from Schistosoma haematobium, 48 nucleotides. The record is from Rfam. NCBI's taxonomy places the organism in Eukaryota, Metazoa, Platyhelminthes, Trematoda, Strigeidida, Schistosomatidae.
AUCCGACUGACGAAUCCCAAAUAAGACGAAACGCAUGUCAAACUGGAU